Molecule: ribosomal RNA, 301 nt
Filed under: uncultured fungus
Lineage: Eukaryota; Fungi
Description: SSU rRNA
Rfam family: Eukaryotic small subunit ribosomal RNA
Source: RNAcentral
AUAAGCAAUUACNAAGCGAAACUGCGAAUGGCUCAUUAUAUAAGUUAUCGUUUAUUUGAUAGUACCUUACUACAUGGAUAACCGUGGUAAUUCUAGAGCUAAUACAUGCUGAAAAUCCCGACUUCGGAAGGGAUGUAUUUAUUAGAUUCAAAACCAAUGCCCUUCGGGGCUCCAAUGGUGAUUCAUGAUAACUUCUCGAAUCGCACGGCCCCGCGCCGGCGAUGGUUCAUUCAAAUUUCUUCCCUAUCAACUUUCGAUGCUACGGUAGUGUCCUAGCAUGGUUGCAACGGGUAACGGGGNA